GAUGAACGCUGGCGGCGUGCCUAAUACAUGCAAGUCGAGCGAACAGACGAGGAGCUUGCUCCUCUGACGUUAGCGGCGGACGGGUGAGUAACACGUGGAUAACCUACCUAUAAGACUGGGAUAACUUCGGGAAACCGGAGCUAAUACCGGAUAAUAUAUUGAACCGCAUGGUUCAAUAGUGAAAGACGGUUUUGCCGUCACUUAUAGAUGGAUCCGCGCCGCAUUAGCUAGUUGGUAAGGUAACGGCUUACCAAGGCAACGAUGCGUAGCCGACCUGAGAGGGUGAUCGGCCACACUGGAACUGAGACACGGUCCAGACUCCUACGGGAGGCAGCAGUAGGGAAUCUUCCGCAAUGGGCGAAAGCUUGACGGAGCAACGCCGCGUGAGUGAUGAAGGUCUUCGGAUCGUAAAACUCUGUUAUUAGGGAAGAACAAAUGUGUAAGUAACUAUGCACGUCUUGACGGUACCGAAUCAGAAAGCCACGGCUAACUACGU
Molecule: ribosomal RNA, 496 nt
Filed under: uncultured bacterium
Lineage: Bacteria
Description: partial 16S ribosomal RNA
Rfam family: Bacterial small subunit ribosomal RNA
Source: RNAcentral